CCAUCAUUAGAGCAAGGUGAUCCUGAGACCAACCGACACCUCGCAUUAUUACCAUGUAAGUACAAGCUCAGCAAUUUGGUAUUACCACAUAAAUAUUGUUAAGUGACGAUAAAUUGGCAAUCUAAGAGCAAUGGCAAAUUAACCAGUCAUGUCAAGAAUCAAGAUCAGUCCGUAAUACAACCUAUAAUUCCACAUGCUUCUUUUUGCAGAUCAUUCAAAUGUAAUUAAAGGUGAAGGUGAUUAUCAACCGGUGAUAAAGAUUCAAACUCAGUCUAUCAUGAUAUAUUAACACAACAACAGGUUUAUCCAAACAAUAUGCCCUCCCUAGAAAAGCCAAAAUCUAGUCCAGAAAUAUCUCAUUCAUUUAAUUGGGUCCUAGACAAAAAAGCAAAGCUAAACCAGGCAUAAGUUAUCUUCCGAUCACUCAUUUGUUUUCCUAGGUUUUUUUUCCAUCACAAAACAGUUAAAAAUGAAAGGAAACACAGGAUUUGUCCAUUUUGCUGCCAAGAUGGAUAAAAAGAGAAAAGAAAGCAUAAAUCAAGUAAACACCAGUUCAAUUCUUUCCAUCAUCAAAGAACAAGGACAAGAAAAGCAAAUUGCACACUGAAACAGAGCAAAUAACUAACCAAAACAAAUGAUCCAACGCAUGCCCUCAAUCCAAAAUCCAAAAAUUGCUCAAAAUCAUGCCACAGAAGAAAAGACACCAACAAAGAAGAACGCUCUAAUUGUGUUGAGGCUGUCACUUUGCACUUGGAGCUUGCGAAAGCCAGCGGGGAUGGCUAGUUCAAUCCCGUACUUCACUGCCUGAGCUUGAUUAUUCGAUGUUUGAAUAUAUUAUUUUGAUGUUAUUUAUGUAAAAAAUAAUAUUAAAAAAAUAUUAUUAAAGUUUAUAUGUUGUCGUAAUGACUGCGUAAUAGGUUUACUAUUUAAAGAUAAAAGCAAAGUAUUCGUUUAUCGAAAAUAAAAUUAUAUUAAAAUGUCCCCAAAUAAACAGGGGAUAGGGUUAGGGUGGGCCAUGCGUUAGCUCAUCUUCGGCUGGCUGGGCUGCCGCUGCUGCCUCCUGAGUUAACUUACCAUGUGUAGAUCUGAUUCUGUGAUCUUGAUUAGUGUCUUUGGUGGGCUUUUUUAUUGUCAUUUCUCAUAGUUUGGAGAAUGCUUUUGUUUCUCCUUCGUGGGAUGUAGAGGUUAUCAAGAGUUUCAUGCCUUCAUGGAAUUCUAUUGUUACUAAAUCACACUUCUGGUUGAUAGAUUUUCUCAAAUUCCUAUUUUAUUUUGGUCUCUAUUUUUGACAUUAUGGAGUGCACAUGUACCAAUUUAUAAUUUCUUACUUUAAUCUUGGUUAGCUUGGGUUCAUCAUUGUUAUUAAUAACUUUUAUCCUAGUAAUUGAGAAUAUUUUGAUAUUAA
RNAcentral lists this unclassified non-coding RNA (1405 nucleotides) under Hevea brasiliensis (rubber tree). Lineage: Eukaryota; Viridiplantae; Streptophyta; Magnoliopsida; Malpighiales; Euphorbiaceae. The record is from RNAcentral.